GUGCCACACCGCGGUAAUACGAAGGGUGCGAGCGUUAAUCGGAAUUACUGGGCGUAAAGCGUGCGUAGGUGGUUGGCUAAGUCCGAUGUGAAAGCCCUGGGCUCAACCUGGGAAUGGCAUUGGAUACUGGCUGGCUGGAGUGCGGUAGAGGGCAGCGGAAUUUCCGGUGUAGCGGUGAAAUGCGUAGAGAUCGGAAGGAACACCCGUGGCGAAGGCGGCUGCCUGGACCAGCACUGACACUGAGGCACGAAAGCGUGGGGAGCAAACAGGAUUAGAUACCCUGGUAGUCCACGCCCUAAACGAUGCGAACUGGACGUUGGGCUCAACUUGGAGCUCAGUGUCGAAGCUAACGCGUUAAGUUCGCCGCCUGGGGAGUACGGUCGCAAGACUGAAACUCAAAGGAAUUGACGG
RNAcentral lists this ribosomal RNA (411 nucleotides) under uncultured bacterium. RNAcentral's name for it is "bacterial SSU rRNA". It matches the Rfam family "Bacterial small subunit ribosomal RNA", at positions 505 to 916 of the family's 1533-position model. The record is from RNAcentral.